CGCCUCUUGCAAAUUAAUGAAUAGGAGGUCCCGCCUGCCCGGUGACUAUAUGUUUAACAGCCGCGGUAUUCUAACCGUGCGAAGGUAGCGUAAUCACUUGUCUUUUAAAUGAGGACCUGUAUGAAUGGCAUAACGAGGGCCUAACUGUCUCCUCUUUUAAGUCAAUGAAAUUGAUCUUCCCGUGCAGAAGCGGGAAUAAUAACAUAAGACGAGAAGACCCUAUGGAGCUUUAGACAAAAGCAGAUUAUGUUUAGAACCCUUAAAUAAGAGGCCGAACUCGAUAUUUACUGCCUCGAUGUCUUUGGUUGGGGUGACCGCGGCGAAAUAAAUAUCCUCCGUGAAGAAAGAGGGUUCCUCCCUUCAAAUCAAGAGCUCCCGCUCAAACGAAUAGAAUAUCUAACUAAACAAGAUCCGGCAAUGCCGAUCAACGGACCGAGUUACCCUAGGGAUAACAGCGCAAUCCCCUUUUAGAGCCCGUAUCAACAAGGGGGUUUACGACCUCGAUGUUGGAUCAGGACAUCCUAGUGGCGCAACCGCUAUUAAGGGUUCGUUUGUUCAACGAUUAAAGUCCU
Molecule: ribosomal RNA, 572 nt
Filed under: Chaetodon robustus (three-banded butterflyfish)
Lineage: Eukaryota; Metazoa; Chordata; Actinopteri; Chaetodontiformes; Chaetodontidae
Description: partial 16S ribosomal RNA
Rfam family: Bacterial large subunit ribosomal RNA
Source: RNAcentral